Molecule: ribosomal RNA, 700 nt
Filed under: uncultured bacterium
Lineage: Bacteria
Description: bacterial SSU rRNA
Rfam family: Bacterial small subunit ribosomal RNA
Source: RNAcentral
AGAGUUUGAUCAUGGCUCAGGAUGAACGCUAGCUGGAGGCUUAAUACAUGCAAGUCGAGCGGGAUUGGUAGCAAUACCAUGAGAGCGGCGCACGGGUGAGUAACGCGUACACGACCUACCUCUAACAGGGGGAUAGCCCUGGGAAACUGGGAUUAAUACCGCAUAUAAUUCUGAUAUAUAAAUGAUUGGAAUGAAAGUUCAGGCGGUUAGAGAUGGGUGUGCGUCUGAUUAGCUAGUUGGUAAGGUAACGGCUUACCAAGGCGAUGAUCAGUAGGGGGCGUGAGAGCGUGAUCCCCCACACGGGUACUGAGACACGGACCCGACUCCUACGGGAGGCAGCAGUAAGGAAUAUUGGUCAAUGGGCGAAAGCCUGAACCAGCCAUCCAGCGUGCAGGAAGAAGGCCCUACGGGUUGUAAACUGCUUUUGUCAGGGAAGAAACCCUUGGAUUCACUCCGAGGCUGACGGUACCUGAAGAAUAAGCACCGGCUAACUCCGUGCCAGCAGCCGCGGUAAUACGGAGGGUGCGAGCGUUAUCCGGAAUUACUGGGUUUAAAGGGUGCGUAGGCGGCUUGGUAAGUCAGGAGUGAAAGUUUGCGGCUCAACCGUAAAAUUGCUUUCGAUACUGCCAGGCUAGAAUCAGGAUGAGGUCAGCGGAAUGUGGCAUGUAGCGGUGAAAUGCAUAGAUAUGCCAUAGAACAC